UACAGAGGGUGCGAGCGUUAAUCGGAAUUACUGGGCGUAAAGCGUGCGCAGGCGGUUUGAGAAGUCCGAUGUGAAAGCCCCGGGCUUAACCUGGGAACGGCGUUGGAAACUCUCAAGCUUGAGUGUGGCAGAGGGGGGUGGAAUUCCACGUGUAGCAGUGAAAUGCGUAGAGAUGUGGAGGAACACCGAUGGCGAAGGCAGCCCCCUGGGCUAACACUGACGCUCAGGCACGAAAGCGUGGGGAGCAAACAGG
This 253-nucleotide ribosomal RNA is filed under the name uncultured bacterium. Its description in RNAcentral is "partial 16S ribosomal RNA". It matches the Rfam family "Bacterial small subunit ribosomal RNA", at positions 524 to 776 of the family's 1533-position model. The record is from RNAcentral.